GGAGUGUUUAUGUAAAGGAAAAAGCUUCUAACUUUUGCCUAAGCGGUUAAAUUCCGUUUACACUCUU
This 67-nucleotide transfer RNA is filed under the name Pilumnus vespertilio. RNAcentral's name for it is "tRNA-Ser". Lineage: Eukaryota; Metazoa; Arthropoda; Malacostraca; Decapoda; Pilumnidae. The record is from RNAcentral.